GACGAACGCUGGCGGCGUGCCUAAUACAUGCAAGUCGAACGCUUCUUUCCUCCCGAGUGCUUGCACUCAAUUGGAAAGAGGAGUGGCGGACGGGUGAGUAACACGUGGGUAACCUACCCAUCAGAGGGGGAUGACACUUGGAAACAGGUGCUAAUACCGCAUAACAGUUUAUGCCGCAUGGCAUAAGAGUGAAAGGCGCUUUCGGGUGUCGCUGAUGGAUGGACCCGCGGUGCAUUAGCUAGUUGGUGAGGUAACGGCUCACCAAGGCCACGAUGCAUAGCCGACCUGAGAGGGUGAUCGGCCACACUGGGACUGAGACACAGCCCAGACUCCUACGGGAGGCAGCAGUAGGGAAUCUUCGGCAAUGGACGAAAGUCUGACCGAGCAACGCCGCGUGAGUGAAGAAGGUUUUCGGAUCGUAAAACUCUGUUGUUAGAGAAGAACAAGGACGUUAGUAACUGAACGUCCCCUGACGGUAUCUAACCAGAAAGCCACGGCUAACUACGUG
Molecule: ribosomal RNA, 508 nt
Filed under: uncultured bacterium
Lineage: Bacteria
Description: partial 16S ribosomal RNA
Rfam family: Bacterial small subunit ribosomal RNA
Source: RNAcentral